This 862-nucleotide long non-coding RNA is filed under the name Musa acuminata (dwarf banana). Its description in RNAcentral is "long non-coding RNA (MACU_LNC003510)". Lineage: Eukaryota; Viridiplantae; Streptophyta; Magnoliopsida; Zingiberales; Musaceae. The record is from RNAcentral.
UGUGAAGUCCUCCAACAUCCUCCUUUCUGAAGACUUCGAACCGCAGGUAUCCUGCUCUUCUAUGUUUCAAUCCUAUAUUGAGAUAUGUAUGGGUGAUUGAUCACAGUGUUGUUUUGUUGUCUCACCAUCCUGCAGUUGGCUGAUUUCGGCCUGGCGAAAUGGGCAUCAGCUUCAGCAUCACAACUGAUAUGCAAUGAUGUUGCAGGAACAUUUGGGUUAGUCAUGGAUGAAGAUUUCUCAUGAGAUUUCUUUAGGCAUCUGAUCAGCUAACAAGUAGGAACUGUUUGUGUGCAGGUAUUUGGCUCCAGAAUACUUCAUGUAUGGAAAAGUCAACGAAAAGAUCGAUGUCUAUGCGUUUGGGGUGGUGCUUCUUGAGCUCAUUUCGGGAAGGAAGCCUGUCACCACAGGGUGCUCCAAGGGCCCGGAGAGCUUGGUUAUGUGGGUAUGUCCUCUAAUCUUUAAGCGAUCAUGGAUUUAACUAGCUUUGUCCGAGUUGUGUGGCAUCCAAUACAUGAACCAUAGGAGGAUCUUACAAUGUAGUGAAUUGGAGAUGUCUCACAUUCUAUCUUCUACAAAAUCCUAUGGCUCCAUUCAUACCAGCGCUAACGGACUGGAUGCCGUUAGUUCUAGGAUGGGCGAGCCCUCAAAGGUUCUUGUGUUGCACCCAUUCUAAGUAUAAAGACCUUAUAGAAACAUAAACAAGAAUAUGGUACCUUGAUUGCAGGCAACACAAAUUCUUCAAGCUGGAGAAGUCAAGGAGCUUGUGGAUCCAUGUUUAGGAACUUGCUAUGACAAAGCUGAGUUGGAGCGGAUGAUGCUUGCUGCUUCCCUUUGCAUCAAACGAGCCUCUCGUUCUCGACCC